Molecule: ribosomal RNA, 274 nt
Filed under: uncultured bacterium
Lineage: Bacteria
Description: partial 16S ribosomal RNA
Rfam family: Bacterial small subunit ribosomal RNA
Source: RNAcentral
AUACGGAGGGAGCAAGCGUUGUUCGGAAUCACUGGGCGUAAAGCGAGUGUAGGUUGUCAGGUAAGUAGGAUGUGAAAGCCCGGGGCUCAACCCCGGAAUUGCAUUCUAAACUGCCUGGCUAGAGUCCCGGAGAGGGAGGUGGAAUUCCGAGUGUAGAGGUGAAAUUCGUAGAUAUUCGGAGGAACACCAGAGGCGAAGGCGACCUCCUGGACGGUGACUGACACUGAGACUCGAGAGCGUGGGUAGCAAACAGGAUUAGAAACCCGAGUAGUCC